This 860-nucleotide ribosomal RNA is filed under the name Salmonella enterica subsp. enterica serovar Infantis. RNAcentral describes it as "partial 23S ribosomal RNA". It matches the Rfam family "Bacterial large subunit ribosomal RNA", at positions 2071 to 2925 of the family's 2925-position model. Lineage: Bacteria; Pseudomonadati; Pseudomonadota; Gammaproteobacteria; Enterobacterales; Enterobacteriaceae. The record is from RNAcentral.
CGCGGCAAGACGGAAAGACCCCGUGAACCUUUACUAUAGCUUGACACUGAACAUUGAGCCUUGAUGUGUAGGAUAGGUGGGAGGCUUUGAAGCGUGGACGCCAGUCUGCGUGGAGCCGACCUUGAAAUACCACCCUUUAAUGUUUGAUGUUCUAACGUGGAUCCGUAAUCCGGGUUGCGGACAGUGUCUGGUGGGUAGUUUGACUGGGGCGGUCUCCUCCUAAAGAGUAACGGAGGAGCACGAAGGUUGGCUAAUCCUGGUCGGACAUCAGGAGGUUAGUGCAAUGGCAUAAGCCAGCUUGACUGCGAGCGUGACGGCGCGAGCAGGUGCGAAAGCAGGUCAUAGUGAUCCGGUGGUUCUGAAUGGAAGGGCCAUCGCUCAACGGAUAAAAGGUACUCCGGGGAUAACAGGCUGAUACCGCCCAAGAGUUCAUAUCGACGGCGGUGUUUGGCACCUCGAUGUCGGCUCAUCACAUCCUGGGGCUGAAGUAGGUCCCAAGGGUAUGGCUGUUCGCCAUUUAAAGUGGUACGCGAGCUGGGUUUAGAACGUCGUGAGACAGUUCGGUCCCUAUCUGCCGUGGGCGCUGGAGAACUGAGGGGGGCUGCUCCUAGUACGAGAGGACCGGAGUGGACGCAUCACUGGUGUUCGGGUUGUCAUGCCAAUGGCACUGCCCGGUAGCUAAAUGCGGAAGAGAUAAGUGCUGAAAGCAUCUAAGCACGAAACUUGCCCCGAGAUGAGUUCUCCCUGAGACUUUAAGUCUCCUGAAGGAACGUUGAAGACGACGACGUUGAUAGGCCGGGUGUGUAAGCGCAGCGAUGCGUUGAGCUAACCGGUACUAAUGAACCGUGAGGCUUAACCUU